This 283-nucleotide ribosomal RNA is filed under the name uncultured Glomeromycotina. Its description in RNAcentral is "partial 18S ribosomal RNA". It matches the Rfam family "Eukaryotic small subunit ribosomal RNA", at positions 810 to 1092 of the family's 1831-position model. The record is from RNAcentral. Lineage: Eukaryota; Fungi; Glomeromycota.
UGGAAUAAUGGAAUAGGACGCGUGGUUCUAUUUCGUUGGUUUCUAGGAUCGCGGUAAUGAUUAAUAGGGAUAGUUGGGGGCAUUAGUAUUCAAUUGUCAGAGGUGAAAUUCUUGGAUUUAUUGAAGACUAACUACUGCGAAAGCAUUUGCCAAGGAUGUUUUCAUUAAUCAAGAACGAAAGUUAGGGGAUCGAAGACGAUCAGAUACCGUCGUAGUCUUAACCAUAAACUAUGCCGACUAGGAAUCGGGCGAUGUUAUAAGAUGACUUGCUCGGCACCUUAAG